AUUGAACGCUGGCGGCAGGCCUAACACGUGCACGUCGAGCGGAGCGGCCGACGGGUGAGUAAUGCCUCGGAGUCGGCCUGCUCGUGGGGGAUAACUUCCUGAAACGGGCGCUAAUUCCUCAUCCUCUCAGAUGAGUCUAUGGCGGAUUGGCUAGGUGGUGGGGUAAGGGCUUACCAAGGCGACGAUCCGUAACUGGUCUGAGAGGAUGAUCAGUCACACUGGAACUGAGACACGGUCCAGACUCCUACGGGAGGCAGCAGUGGGGAAUAUUGCACAAUGGGCGAAAGCCUGAUCCAGCCAUGCCGCGUGUAUGAAGAAGGUCUUCGGAUUGUAAAGCACUUUAAGUUGGGAGGCGUUACCAACAGAAGAAGCACCGGCUAACUUAGUGCCAGCAGCCGCGGUAAUAC
This 407-nucleotide ribosomal RNA is filed under the name uncultured bacterium. RNAcentral describes it as "partial 16S ribosomal RNA". It matches the Rfam family "Bacterial small subunit ribosomal RNA", at positions 30 to 526 of the family's 1533-position model. The record is from RNAcentral.